Molecule: ribosomal RNA, 429 nt
Filed under: Acidobacteriota bacterium
Lineage: Bacteria; Pseudomonadati; Acidobacteriota
Description: Acidobacteria bacterium partial 16S ribosomal RNA
Rfam family: Bacterial small subunit ribosomal RNA
Source: RNAcentral
UAGGGAAUCUUCCGCAAUGGGCGAAAGCCUGACGGAGCAAUGCCGCGUGAGUGAAGAAGGCCUUCGGGUCGUAAAACUCUGUUAUAAGAGAAGAACAAAUUGUAGAGUAACUGCUACAGUCUUGACGGUAUCUUAUCAGAAAGCCACGGCUAACUACGUGCCAGCAGCCGCGGUAAUACGUAGGUGGCAAGCGUUGUCCGGAUUUAUUGGGCGUAACGGGAGCGCAGGUGGUUUCUUAAGUCUGAUGUGAAAGCCCACGGCUUAACCGUGGAGGGUCAUUGGAAACUGGGAAACUUGAGUACAGAAGAGGAAUGUGGAACUCCAUAUGUAGCGGUGAAAUGCGUAGAUAGAUGGAAGAACACCAGGGGCGAAGGCGACAUUCUGGUCUGUUACUGACACUGAGGCUCGAAAGCGUGGGGAGCAAACAGG